Molecule: ribosomal RNA, 443 nt
Filed under: uncultured bacterium
Lineage: Bacteria
Description: partial 16S ribosomal RNA
Rfam family: Bacterial small subunit ribosomal RNA
Source: RNAcentral
CCUACGGGAGGCUGCAGUGGGGAAUAUUGGGCAAUGGGAGCAAGCCUGACCCAGCAACGCCGCGUGAAGGAAGAAGGCUUUCUGGUUGGAAACUUCUUUUCUCAGGGACGAAAAAAGUGACGGUACCUGAGGACUACGCCACGGCUAACUACAUGCCAGCGGCAGCGGUAAUACGUAGGUGGCGAGCGUUAUCCGGAUUUAUUGGGUGUAAAGGGCGUGUAGGCGGGAGCGCAAGGCAGAUGGGAAAAUUCAGGGCUUAACCCUGAGCCUGCAUUUGAAACUGUGUGUCUUGAGUGCGGGAGAGGCAAUCGGAAUUCCGUGUGUAGCGGUGAAAUGCGUAGAUAUCCGGAGGAACACCAGUUGCGAAGGCGGAGUGCUGGACAGUAACUGACGCUGAGGCGCGAAAGCGUGGGGAGCAAACAGGAUUAGAUACCCGUGUAGUC